ACAGCCGUACCAUGCUGAAUAUACCGGUUCUCGUUCGAUCACCGAAGUUAAGCAUCAUUGGGCGCGGUCAGUACUUGGGUGGGUGACCACCUGGGAACACUGCGUGCCGUU
This 111-nucleotide ribosomal RNA is filed under the name Caerostris darwini. Lineage: Eukaryota; Metazoa; Arthropoda; Arachnida; Araneae; Araneidae. The record is from RNAcentral.